This 251-nucleotide unclassified non-coding RNA is filed under the name Hevea brasiliensis (rubber tree). Lineage: Eukaryota; Viridiplantae; Streptophyta; Magnoliopsida; Malpighiales; Euphorbiaceae. The record is from RNAcentral.
GAAACUUCUUGCCUGUGUAGGUGCCAGGUGGUGCAUUACACUCUUCAGGAUCUACUGAGGGUUCUGCUGCUUCCACCAACUUCUUCCAAGCUUUUUCAGCAUAUUUGUCCUUCAGCUCACACAUGUUCCCCUCGGUGUUAUAAAUCUUUUCCUCCCAGGCACCAUUCUUCCACUGGUCGAUUAUCAUUUUUACAUGGAACGUUGAAUCUAUGGUAGAGUCUGAUACAAGCAUGAACUCCACCCACUUUUCA